Molecule: long non-coding RNA, 931 nt
Organism: Pezoporus flaviventris
Lineage: Eukaryota; Metazoa; Chordata; Aves; Psittaciformes; Psittacidae
Exons: 3
Source: RefSeq, a predicted model, not a curated record
GAGAUUCUGAAGACAUCUGUGCCCCGCACACAGCUCCACCAAAGUUCAGUCCAGACAACCUCUUUGCUCUCCUUCCCAAGGCAGUUUUAGAAAGAAGUGGAGAGUCUUGUCUGGAGACAUGUACUGGGGUAGUCCCCAGUCUGGAGAACUACCAGUUCUGGGGAGCUGGAGGUCAGUUUGUUUCUCCCAUCCCUUGCUGGUACUGGGGAUAUCCCAGUGACCAGUGAGGUCUCAUGGUCUCUCUACAGGUGGGACUCAAAAUCAAGCAAGGGAAGAGGCCUGAGGCACCCUUGGAAGGACAUGGAGAUUUUAGCCAGGAGGCAAGUGUUGGGGUAGGCUUGGAGAGCAUCCAGUGUGGGGAACUGGAGGGCAGUUUGUUCCUCCCAUCCCUUCCUGGUAUUGGGGACAUCCCAGUGAUCAGUGAGGUCUCAUGAUCUCUCUACAGGAGGGACCCCAAAUCAAGUGGGGGAAGAGGCCUGAGGUAACAUGAGUUCUACUGUCUCCAGACACUCUCCUCUCAUGGCCACAACCGCAUUCCAACAAGUCCAAUCCAUACAACCUCUUUGCUCUCCUUCUCUAGGCACGCUUGGAAGGAAGUGGAGGUUUUAGCCAGGAGGCAAGUACUGGGGUCGCUUUGGAGAGCAUCCAGUGUGGGGAACUGAAGGGCAGUUUGUUCCUCCCAUCCCUUGCUGGUACUGGGGACAUCCCAGUGAUCAGUGAGGUCUCAUGAUCUCUCUACAGGAGGGACCCCAAAUCAAGCGGGAGAAGAGGCCUGAGGUAGGUAUCAUGAGUUCUACUGUCCCCAGACACUCCCCUCUCAUGAUCACAACCACAGCCCCACAAAGUCCAAUCCAUACAACCUCUUUGCUCUCCUUCCCUAGGCACCCUUGGAAGGAAGUGGAGGUUUUAGCCAGGAGGCAAGUACUGGGAU